GCGUACGGCCACACCAUUGUGAAUGCGCUUGAUCUUGUCAUAUCUCGGAAGCUAAACACAUUCAGGCUCGGCCAGUACUUUGAUGGGAGACUGCCUGGGAAUCCCGAGUGCUGUAAGCU
This 119-nucleotide ribosomal RNA is filed under the name Erpetoichthys calabaricus (reedfish). Lineage: Eukaryota; Metazoa; Chordata; Cladistia; Polypteriformes; Polypteridae. The record is from RNAcentral.